Molecule: long non-coding RNA, 917 nt
Organism: Rhagoletis pomonella (apple maggot)
Lineage: Eukaryota; Metazoa; Arthropoda; Insecta; Diptera; Tephritidae
Exons: 3
Source: RefSeq, a predicted model, not a curated record
UCAUUUUCGUAUCUCAAGAAGCCUUUUUGAAAAUCUAAGUGAAGAAUUAAUGCAAAGCGAGUAUUACAGCAAUCUUCGUGCUUACAAAAGACUACCCGAAAAGACAUAUUUGUUGGUAUUUUUAUGGUUUGCUGGCCAUGAAGCAUGCAGCUUCCGAGAUUUGUCAGAUCGCUUUAAUAUGUCGAUAUCAACUAUAUCUAAAAUAAUACAUAUUGUGACAAUGUUUCUCAGCAAUUUAAGUCCGGAUGUUAUAAAAUGGCCUAAUCAGCAGAAGAAACAAGAAUCCAGUCAAUAUUUUGAUAAUAAGUGCAUGUAAUUGCUUUGGAGAAAUAGGAUGCAUCGAUGGAACCCACAUAGAAAUUUUCCCACCAAAAAGGGGAAAAGAUGAGUACAUUGACAGAAAAGGCAUCGUAUCGGUUGUUCUGCAAGGGGUCUGUAAUGAGCAAAAAAAGUUCAUUAACAUAUUUUUUGGAUACCCGGGUUCCAGCCACGAUAGUUGGGUUUUCAAAAAUUCUCCCAUAUAUAAUAAAUUACCUUCGUAUUGCGGAGAUUACUACCUAAAAGGUGAUUCGGCGUACCCUUGCAGCAAAUAUGUAAUCACUCCAUAUAGAGAUAACGGCCAUUUGACUCGUGCUCAGAAAAUAUUCAAUGGCAAGUUGAGUUCUGGUCGUGUUGCAAUCGAACACACGUUUGGGAUUUUAAAAGAAAGAUUCAGGCAGUUGUAUUAUUGCAAGUUGAGAGGCAUGAAAAAACUCUGUCAUUUUGUGCGUGCUUGUUGUAUUUUACAUAAAUUAGCAAAUGAAGACGAUUUGAAUUUUAGCGAAGAGCCAUUUGCCGAAGAUUUAUAUGAAAAUUCAAGUCGUGGUGAAACAUCGAGAAGAAAUUGCGACCGUGAUCUAAUUUGCCAAAAUAUUCAA